ACACACACUCAACGCAUACACAAAUCACGCACACAUCUACACAUACCCACUACUUUUCACAAACCCACAUGAGCAGCUCCUUUUCCAGCCACUUCCGGCCGUUGCCCACCACCUCUCCGGCGACGCCUUGGCUGCCAGCAGCCCCUCUUCCUCUCCCUCCUCAUGGUUUCUUCAUCCUCAUCUUUUUCCUACCUCCAUUGAAGAUGAUUCAAGGUAGAAGCUUUUUCCCAAACUCAAGUUUCUUGCAAAUUAAGUGCUAGGAGUGGCACCUCCGAGGCUCGAGGACGGACAACCAAACCAAGCUUGAGGAGAUUAUUUUAGAUUACAACUUUCGAGGUGGGGUUUGCUUUUAUCUGUAAGCGUAGUGGUUACAUGGUCAGAUCCAUGAGGGAUCAUAUGGGUCGCUGACAGCCCACCAAUAGCCCACGAGGGGUCAGGUCCACGAGGGACCGAGACUAGUCUCCUAUAGAUGUCAGCAAAGUUGAGAUGGUUCAUUAUGUUAUGAUUCAUUACACAAUUGGUUAUAACUGCUUGCAGCGUAUUCCCCACUGAGUGUGCUUGCAUACUCACACCCCGUUAUUUAAUGUUUUUCAGGUUAAGGAGGCGGUGCCGGGGCAGCAGUCAACGUGGUCCACGGUCUCCCAGCUGCUAUUUUUUGACUAGUAGACCCUUUGAUAUUUUGGGUAAAAUUGAAUUUUUUUGGAGAGAAAACUCGGUAACUUUUAUGCUAUUAUAUUUUGAAUGAUGUAGGUUGUAAUCCGAUUAAGCAGGGUAUUUUAUUUUGGUGGAAUACUAGAUGAAGUAUAUAUAUUUUUAACAUAGUGAUA
This is a long non-coding RNA of Salvia splendens (bonfire salvia), 827 nucleotides long. RefSeq lists it as uncharacterized. The transcript is spliced from 2 exons. The record is from RefSeq and is a predicted model, not a curated record. NCBI's taxonomy places the organism in Eukaryota, Viridiplantae, Streptophyta, Magnoliopsida, Lamiales, Lamiaceae.